This 373-nucleotide ribosomal RNA is filed under the name uncultured bacterium. RNAcentral's name for it is "bacterial SSU rRNA". It matches the Rfam family "Bacterial small subunit ribosomal RNA", at positions 525 to 896 of the family's 1533-position model. The record is from RNAcentral.
ACAGAGGUCCCAAGCGUUGUUCGGAUUCACUGGGCGUAAAGGGUGCGUAGGCGGCAAGGUAAGUCUGUUGUGAAAUCUCCGAGCCUAACUCGGAAACUGCAGUGGAUACUAUCUUGCUAGAGGAAUGGAGGGGAGACUGGAAUACUUGGUGUAGCAGUGAAAUGCGUAGAUAUCAAGUGGAACACCAGUGGCGAAGGCGAGUCUCCGGACAUUUCCUGACGCUGAGGCACGAAAGCCAGGGGAGCAAACGGGAUUAGAUACCCCGGUAGUCCUGGCCCUAAACGGUGCGCGUUUGCUGUGAGCGGAAUCGACCCCGCUCGUGGCGAAGUUAACACAUUAAACGCGCCGCCUGGGAAAUACGGCCGCAAGGUUA